This 429-nucleotide ribosomal RNA is filed under the name Acidobacteriota bacterium. RNAcentral describes it as "Acidobacteria bacterium partial 16S ribosomal RNA". It matches the Rfam family "Bacterial small subunit ribosomal RNA", at positions 355 to 776 of the family's 1533-position model. Lineage: Bacteria; Pseudomonadati; Acidobacteriota. The record is from RNAcentral.
UGGGGAAUUUUGGACAAUGGGGGAAACCCUGAUCCAGCCAUCCCGCGUGUGCGAUGAAGGCCUUCGGGUUGUAAAGCACUUUUGGCAGGAAAGAAACGUCAUGGGUUAAUACCCCGUGAAACUGACGGUACCUGCAGAAUAAGCACCGGCUAACUACGUGCCAGCAGCCGCGGUAAUACGUAGGGUGCAAGCGUUAAUCGGAAUUACUGGGCGUAAAGCGUGCGCAGGCGGUUCGGAAAGAAAGAUGUGAAAUCCCAGAGCUCAACUUUGGAACUGCAUUUUUAACUACCGGGCUAGAGUGUGUCAGAGGGAGGUGGAAUUCCGCGUGUAGCAGUGAGAUGCGUAGAUAUGCGGAGGUACACCGAUGGCGAAGGCAGCCUCCUGGGAUAACACUGACGCUCAUGCACGAAAGCGUGGGGAGCAAACAGG